RNAcentral lists this long non-coding RNA (251 nucleotides) under Lathyrus oleraceus (garden pea). RNAcentral describes it as "Pisum sativum (pea) long non-coding RNA (PSAT_LNC006322)". The record is from RNAcentral. Lineage: Eukaryota; Viridiplantae; Streptophyta; Magnoliopsida; Fabales; Fabaceae.
UUAUAUUUAUCUUAUGGUGCAAUUUCCAAUUGUAUUUUACCUCGAUGCUUUAAUCCGUGUGUUCAUGGUGUAAGGGCUAGCAUACUUCCGAAGAAAUAGCCGGCUAGGUACUCCGCUUUAUGUAUGGGAAGACUUUCAUGGAGAUGGACUCUAAAUUAUUUCACUUCAAUGUGAAAAUUCAUAUUGGUUGCCUAACCAAUUUAAUGUAUUGAUCUUUAAUGUGUUGAUUUUAAUGUAUCGAUUUAAUGCGG